Molecule: long non-coding RNA, 1080 nt
Organism: Lolium rigidum
Lineage: Eukaryota; Viridiplantae; Streptophyta; Magnoliopsida; Poales; Poaceae
Exons: 8
Source: RefSeq, a predicted model, not a curated record
GAAGCUUAUAACCCUUGGAUUUGGAAAACAACAAGCGCUUUGCAGUCCCUACAGCAUGAUAAGAACCAUGGUUGAUGGAACAAUUAGAGCAUAGCCACCGACGAACGCCACACUCCAAGAGGAGCCGCGGCUGGCUGGACGGCGGUCGGAUGAUCGGCUGGUGGCGAUCUAAGCAGCGUAGGCCGCUGCUUGCCAUGUGUCACCGCUGGAGGAUUUUAAUCUUGGCCGGUGAUUGGCUAUCUCCACUUGGAAAACACUAUGUUGUUUCAUGAAAAGGAAAGUGGGAUGGAGGGGAAGAUCGACCUAUGGGGAGUAAUGAGAAGUGCCAAUUAUUGUGAUGGAUCUAGAGGAAAAUACAUUCUGCACACGCGUGUCUCCACGACGGCUGCCAUGGCACAGCAGGGCGGGGCCUCUUCCCUCCCCCCUCCCCUUGCUCGAUGCACCAGCCAUGGAGGACCUCUUACCUGCUUCUUGUGUCUGCAGGUGACGGUCCGUGAGCGUACCCGGCGCGAGGAGCUCUCCGCAGCGCAGGUACGACAUCGGGGAGGCAAGGAUGACGAGAUGGUGGUCGCUUUCCCGGAGCUGCUGCUGCCGGCGAUUUACGCCACCACCACCCCGAGUUGUCUGCGUCGUUCUAGACCUGCGCCUGCCGGCCACCAUUCAGUACAGCUGUAGCCCAUCACAUCCCCAACCUACUGCUCCCGGAGCCGGUCAUUUGAGUAUGGAGAGACGACGGCUUGAGAUGAACUCAAGAACUUGCUCUUUGAAAGCGGCAAUGUCAAGAAAUUGAAGGCACUAUUUGGCUCACCCAUGAGAAGCGCAAAAUAUAAUACAUGGAGGUAUUAGGCUGUUUACUGAAAUAUCACCACACUGCAGUACCAGUGGAUUCCGACAAAUCUUGCAGGUUCAGGGGCAGGCCACACCAACGGCAGAAGAGAGAGCUCAGAAAUUGUUUGGUAUCCAUCAUCAGCCUUUGCACCUAUUCGUGAUAUAUGCGGCUUUGCUAGAUGUACCUUCAUCUAUGGUAGGCCUCACCAUAGGUGGUCUGCUUUAUUUCAGCCAGUUGUGCACCAUGUACUA